UACGGAGGGCGCGAGCGUUACCCGGAUUUACUGGGCGUAAAGGGCGUGUAGGCGGUCUGGGGCGUCCCAUGUGAAAGGACACGGCUCAACCGUGGAGGAGCGUGGGAUACGCUCAGGCUAGACGGUGGGAGAGGGUGGUGGAAUUCCCGGAGUAGCGGUGAAAUGCGCAGAUACCGGGAGGAACGCGGUUGGCGAAUGUAGCCACCUGGCUCACUGGUGACGUUGCGGCGCGAAAGCGUGGUGAGCAAACCGG
RNAcentral lists this ribosomal RNA (253 nucleotides) under uncultured bacterium. Its description in RNAcentral is "partial 16S ribosomal RNA". It matches the Rfam family "Bacterial small subunit ribosomal RNA", at positions 524 to 776 of the family's 1533-position model. The record is from RNAcentral.